UGGGAAACCUGCCCAGAAGCGGGGGAUAACACCUGGAAACAGAUGCUAAUACCGCAUAACAACUUGGACCGCAUGGUCCGAGCUUGAAAGAUGGCUUCGGCUAUCACUUUUGGAUGGUCCCGCGGCGUAUUAUCUAGAUGGUGGGGUAACGGCUCACCAUGGCAAUGAUACGUAGCCGACCUGAGAGGGUAAUCGGCCACAUUGGGACUGAGACACGGCCCAAACUCCUACGGGAGGCAGCAGUAGGGAAUCUUCCACAAUGGACGAAAGUCUGAUGGAGCAACGCCGCGUGAGUGAAGAAGGGUUUCGGCUCGUAAAACUCUGUUGUUAAAGAAGAACAUAUCUGAGAGUAACUGUUCAGGUAUUGACGGUAUUUAACCAGAAAGCCACGGCUAACUACGUGCCAGCAGCCGCGGUAAUACGUAGGUGGCAAGCGUUGUCCGGAUUUAUUGGGCGUAAAGCGAGCGCAGGCGGUUUUUUAAGUCUGAUGUGAAAGCCUUCGGCUCAACCGAAGAAGUGCAUCGGAAACUGGGAACCUUGAGUGCAGAAGAGGACAGUGGAACUCCAUGUGUAGCGGUGAAAUGCGUAGAUAUAUGGAAGAACACCAGUGGCGAAGGCGGCUGUCUGGUCUGUAACUGACGCUGAGGCUCGAAAGUAUGGGUAGCAAACAGGAUUAGAUACCCUGGUAGUCCAUACCGUAAACGAUGAAUGCUAAGUGUUGGAGGGUUUCCGCCCUUCAGUGCUGCAGCUAACGCAUUAAGCAUUCCGCCUGGGGGAGUACGGCCGCAAGGCUGAAACUCAAAGGAAUUGACGGGGGCCCGCACAAGCGGUGGAGCAUGUGGUUUAAUUCGAAGCUACGCGAAGAACCUUACCAGGUCUUGACAUACUAUGCAAAUCUAAGAGAUUAGACGUUCCCUUCGGGGACAUGGAUACAGGUGGUGCAUGGUUGUCGUCAGCUCGUGUCGUGAGAUGUUGGGUUAAGUCCCGCAACGAGCGCAACCCUUAUUAUCAGUUGCCAGCAUUAAGUUGGGCACUCUGGUGAGACUGCCGGUGACAAACCGGAGGAAGGUGGGGAUGACGUCAAAUCAUCAUGCCCCUUAUGACCUGGGCUACACACGUGCUACAAUGGAUGGUACAACGAGUUGCGAACUCGCGAGAGUAAGCUAAUCUCUUAAAGCCAUUCUCAGUUCGGAUUGUAGGCUGCAACUCGCCUACAUGAAGUCGGAAUCGCUAGUAAUCGCGGAUCAGCAUGCCGCGGUGAAUACGUUCCCGGGCCUUGUACACACCGCCCGUCACACCAUGAGAGUUUGUAACACCCAAAGCCGGUGGGGUAACCUUUUAGGAACCAGCCGCCUAAGGUGGGACAGAUGAUUAGGGUGAAGUCGUAACAAGGU
This 1394-nucleotide ribosomal RNA is filed under the name uncultured Lactobacillus sp. RNAcentral's name for it is "bacterial SSU rRNA". It matches the Rfam family "Bacterial small subunit ribosomal RNA". The record is from RNAcentral. Lineage: Bacteria; Bacillati; Bacillota; Bacilli; Lactobacillales; Lactobacillaceae.